This 29-nucleotide non-coding RNA is filed under the name Rattus norvegicus (Norway rat). The record is from RNAcentral. Lineage: Eukaryota; Metazoa; Chordata; Mammalia; Rodentia; Muridae.
UCAAAUAGAAACAUUGUGUGCCUUGAUAG